Molecule: transfer RNA, 83 nt
Filed under: Canis lupus familiaris (dog)
Lineage: Eukaryota; Metazoa; Chordata; Mammalia; Carnivora; Canidae
Also listed under: 1 other name
Rfam family: tRNA
About the family: Transfer RNA (tRNA) molecules are approximately 80 nucleotides in length. Their secondary structure includes four short double-helical elements and three loops (D, anti-codon, and T loops).
Source: Rfam by way of RNAcentral
GCUUGGGUGGCUCAGUGGUUGAGCAUCUGCCUUCAGCUCAGGGCGUGAUCCCAGGGUCUUGGGAUCGAGUCCCACAUCAGGCU